UGCCAGCCGCCGCGGUAAUACGUAGGGGGCAAGCGUUACUCGGAUUAACUGGGCGUAAAGCGAGUGUAGGCGGUCUUGUAAGUCAGGGGUGAAAUCCCUCAGCUCAACUGAGGAAUUGCCUUUGAUACUGCUCGACUAGAGGACAGGAGAGGAAAGUGGAAUUCCCGGUGUAGCGGUGGAAUGCGUAGAUAUCGGGAGGAACACCAGAGGCGAAGGCGGCUUUCUGGACUGAUCCUGACGCUGAGAUUCGAAAGCUAGGGGAGCAAACAGGAUUAGAUA
This 279-nucleotide ribosomal RNA is filed under the name uncultured bacterium. Its description in RNAcentral is "partial 16S ribosomal RNA". It matches the Rfam family "Bacterial small subunit ribosomal RNA", at positions 506 to 784 of the family's 1533-position model. The record is from RNAcentral.